AUUGAACGCUGGCGGCAGGCCUAACACAUGCAAGUCGAACGAGUGGCGGACGGGUGAGUAAUGUCUGGGAAACUGCCUGAUGGAGGGGGAUAACUACUGGAAACGGUAGCUAAUACCGCAUACCAUCGGAUGUGCCCAGAUGGGAUUGGCUAGUAGGUGGGGUAAAGGCUCACCUAGGCGACGAUCCCUAGCGGGUCUGAGAGGAGGACGAGCCACACUGGAACGAGGACACGGUCCAGACUCCUACGGAGGGCGGCGGGGGGGAAUAUUGCACAAUGGAGGCAAGCUUAAGGCAGCCAGGCCGCGUGGAGGAAGAGGGCCUUGGGGUGGUAAAGUACGUUCAGCGGGGAGGCGUUACCCGAAGAAGAAGCACCGGCUAACUCCGUGCCAGCAGCCGCGGUAAUUC
This 406-nucleotide ribosomal RNA is filed under the name uncultured bacterium. Its description in RNAcentral is "partial 16S ribosomal RNA". It matches the Rfam family "Bacterial small subunit ribosomal RNA", at positions 29 to 526 of the family's 1533-position model. The record is from RNAcentral.